RNAcentral lists this long non-coding RNA (2018 nucleotides) under Canis lupus familiaris (dog). RNAcentral describes it as "lncRNA (ENSCAFG00000053141.1)". Lineage: Eukaryota; Metazoa; Chordata; Mammalia; Carnivora; Canidae. The record is from RNAcentral.
UUUUUUUUUUUUUAGAAAUGUCAGUAACAAUCUGCUGAAAAAAUACCAGUCUAUUUUAUUUCCUCCAGAAGUGGUUCUUCAGUAUUAGUUUGGUUUUCACACAGAGAUCCCAGCACACGGCAGAGUCCUGAGCCCCAACCCAAAGAUUCUGUGGGCUUCGGAUGCUGCUCAUGUCUAUGAUCCAUCACUGCAGGCUCGCAGCCACCCCAGGGUACUCUGCAGGACAGUACCACCCAAGGAUGGUGAAGAGACUUGCAGAAUCAGAAUCCUCAAACCAGGAGGGUCUGCUCGUAUCGACCAAAACUGUGCCAGAAGCAUCCAAACCUAAGGGGACAGCACACCCACGGGCACUGGUGGGGAUGGGGUGGAAACAAGCAAAUCUCUUCCAGGCCCUGAAAAGGACAGAAGACCCCCAGCAGAACAUUCUGAAUAACAAAGCACUAGCUCACAGAAGCCAAAGCAAGGCUCCAGAAGGAGCUUUCCUACUCUCUGGGGCACUGUGGCCUGACACACAGCUCCCACCCCAACAGUGCCAGUCCUUCUUGUAGGAUUCUACUCAUCUCCGAAAGUUCAUCAGCUUUUGAAAUCACCAUUUCCCAUGGCUCGCCAGCACUCACGAUGCCCAGGGCGAGGCCCAGGAAAAGGACAGUAGCUCAGGCUGGAGCCCCGGCUGGGUGCUGGGCUAGACGUGGCCUCCAUUCGGCAGGCUGUGAAGACCACUGGGCCCAAGCCAGCAGGGGCCGCCAGGAGGCUGCAGCCGCUGGGAGCACCUUCAGCACAGCCCUGGCCACAGGACACUCCCCACACUUCAAGGUGGGCAGAGACGUUAUUUUCCCCUACCAACUACUCUGCUCAGUUUCUGUAUUUCACCAUCACUUCUGUGGUAUACCUGAUUCUCAGAGAGUCGGUCAGCUCAGGUCCUUGGGUGCCAAUCACUGAAAAGGUUAUUUUUCUUUUUCAAAUUAAAUAAUGUCACAGCAUUGGAACAUUUCUUUUUAGGGUCUUAAUAUCAACCUUCUUAUGUGUGUCACUGUGGUUUUAUAAUAAAAUAAUGAACAUUACUUUAGCAAUAAUUGGACACUUACCAGGCACCAACCGUCCUAACUUCUUUACAUGACAACUUCAUCAAAUCAUCCCAAUUAUCUAUCGCAGUGGGUCAGUGACACAAGGAAGGGCAAGCGCUCCCCAGAGACCACACAGCAGGAGGCUGAAAGCACAGGGCCAGACCCAUGCUCCACAUACUGAACACCAGGAGGGGGUGCACAUCUUUACUUACAUAAUCUAUUAAGGAAGAAGAUACCAAAUACUCUUUAUUAAAACAGUAAGCUUGUGUUCCAUGUAAUUUCCUACCGAAGCUAGUGACUGAAUGUGAUAAACUGAAAACAUGUCCCCAUGGAUGACUCUUAUUUACUUUUCAAGUUAGAUUUAAAAAUCCGACCUGUUUGGAGAAGGUAAAUGAGAAUCUUCCUCUUCCCCCAAGAGACACAGAUAAUAGUUAUAUUAAGAAUCAACAGAUUGGAUCCCUGGGUGGCUCAGCGGUUUAGCACCUGCCUUUGGCCCACCUGGAUCGAGUCCCACAUAGGGUUCCCUGCAUGGAGCCUGCUUCUCCCUCUGCCUGCCUCUCUCUCUCUCUCUCUCAGUGUGUGUGUGUGUGUGUCUUUCAUGAAUAAAUAAAUAAAAUCUUUAAAAAAAUUAAAAUAAAAUAAAAUAAAAAUCAACAGAUUAAAAAUACCUUUGUUCAUUUAAGAAAUACCUUUGUUCGGAAUAAGAACUGUUCUUGUUCCUAGAAGUUACUGAAUGUUUUAGGAAUGUUUGAUUUCAAAUUCAUAAAUGUCAUUCAUUCAUUUCAUAUUUUCCCAAACCUGAGACUAUCUCACAUUAUUAGCAUUAGUAAUACAGAAAAAGAAGCUAUUUUUAGACUGCCUUUCACAAUAGGAGAUUCUCAAUGAGAAAGGGACCUGUUGUGACCACGUAUCCUGUGGACAUGCCCUGCUGGGGCUGUGGCCACCAUGGGCCCC